Molecule: ribosomal RNA, 427 nt
Filed under: uncultured bacterium
Lineage: Bacteria
Description: partial 16S ribosomal RNA
Rfam family: Bacterial small subunit ribosomal RNA
Source: RNAcentral
UGGGGAAUAUUGCACAAUGGGCGCAAGCCUGAUGCAGCCAUGCCGCGUGUAUGAAGAAGGCCUUCGGGUUGUAAAGUACUUUCAGCGAGGAGGAAGGCGUUGUGGUUAAUAACCGCAGCGAUUGACGUUACUCGCAGAAGAAGCACCGGCUAACUCCGUGCCAGCAGCCGCGGUAAUACGGAGGGUGCAAGCGUUAAUCGGAAUUACUGGGUGUAAAGCGCACGCAGGCGGUCUGUCAAGUCGGAGGUGAAAUCCCCGGGCUCAACCUGGGAACUGCAUCCGAAACUGGCAGGCUAGAGUCUUGUAGAGGGGGGUAGAAUUCCAGGUGUAGCGGUGAAAUGCGUAGAGAUCUGGAGGAAUACCGGUGGCGAAGGCGGCCCCCUGGACAAAGACUGACGCUCAGGUGCGAAAGCGUGGGGAGCAAACA